GUAGGGAAUCUUCCACAAUGGGCGCAAGCCUGAUGGAGCAACACCGCGUGAGUGAAGAAGGGUUUCGGCUCGUAAAGCUCUGUUUGUUAAAGAAGAACACGUUUGAGAGUAACUGUUCAUACGUUGACGGUAUUUAACCAGAAAGUCACGGCUAACUACGUGCCAG
This 166-nucleotide ribosomal RNA is filed under the name uncultured bacterium. RNAcentral's name for it is "partial 16S rRNA". It matches the Rfam family "Bacterial small subunit ribosomal RNA", at positions 354 to 511 of the family's 1533-position model. The record is from RNAcentral.